Non-coding RNA from Coturnix japonica (Japanese quail), 322 nucleotides. Lineage: Eukaryota; Metazoa; Chordata; Aves; Galliformes; Phasianidae. The record is from RefSeq and is a predicted model, not a curated record.
UACUGACCAUGACUUGUGAACUGUGAUCUUGACCUGUGGUGCUGUACUGGAGGCUGUUACACCAUGGCUGUUCGGAGGAGAUGUUUGGAAGUUCCAGAGAGAAGAUGAUGUGUGAUCAAAAGAUGAAAGAUUAAACCACAGGAAUAUGGAGAACAGGAAAAGGAGUAUACAGAAGAACCAGCUUUCAAGAAAUCUCAAGGGGAUUUCUGCAGAGUGGAAUAUGGCAGAGUUUUUCUUGUUCCUAUCCAUGUGGGUCUAUCUGAGCUCGUACAUCUGGGAGAGGACAACAGCUCUGAUCUGUAGCACUCACCGUUUGCUGAAU